AUUUGGGCACACCAACUAACAGAAUCACUGUUUGUUUCAAGAUUAAUGUCUGCUUGUGAUACAAGAGCUAUAAUAUUUGGUAGAACAUUUAUAAUGAACAUCUAAAGCUCAUUGUGCUAAGCCUUUUUCUUUCUUUUUAUUUUUUUUGGGCAAAACUCAGUCCCUUUUACCCCAUAUUACACCCUUAUAAUAAUAAGAAGUGUUGUGGCC
RNAcentral lists this long non-coding RNA (210 nucleotides) under Elaeis guineensis (African oil palm). Its description in RNAcentral is "long non-coding RNA (EGUI_LNC012823)". The record is from RNAcentral. Lineage: Eukaryota; Viridiplantae; Streptophyta; Magnoliopsida; Arecales; Arecaceae.